AUUGAACGCUGGCGGCACGCCUAACACAUGCAAGUCGAGCGGUAACAUGAUUUGUAGCAAUACAAAUUGAUGACGAGCGGCGGACGGGUGAGGAACACGUAGGAAUCUGCCCAGAAGCGGGGGACAACCAAGGGAAACUUUGGCUAAUACCGCGUAAUCUCGAGAGAGUAAAGCUGCCCGCAAGGGUGGCGCUUCUGGAGGAGCCUGCGUCCGAUUAGCUAGUUGGUGAGGUAAGAGCUCACCAAGGCGAUGAUCGGUAACUGGUCUGAGAGGACGACCAGUCACACUGGGACUGAGACACGGCCCAGACUCCUACGGGAGGCAGCAGUGGGGAAUAUUGGACAAUGGGGCAACCCUGAUCCAGCGAUGCCGCGUGGGUGAAGAAGGCCUUCGGGUUGUAAAGCCCUUUAGGUUGGGAAGAAGUUUAUGCGUUGAAUAGACGUGUAGAUUGACGGUACCGACAAAAUAAGCACCGGCAAACUCUGUGCCAGCCGCCGCUGUAA
This 503-nucleotide ribosomal RNA is filed under the name uncultured bacterium. Its description in RNAcentral is "partial 16S ribosomal RNA". It matches the Rfam family "Bacterial small subunit ribosomal RNA", at positions 30 to 523 of the family's 1533-position model. The record is from RNAcentral.